AAUUAGAUAAGCUAAUUUAAGCUAGUGGGUUCAUACCCCAAACAUGAGAAUCUCUCUCUAAUUA
RNAcentral lists this transfer RNA (64 nucleotides) under Branchipolynoe sp. YZ-2018. Its description in RNAcentral is "tRNA-Met". The record is from RNAcentral. Lineage: Eukaryota; Metazoa; Annelida; Polychaeta; Phyllodocida; Polynoidae.